RNAcentral lists this unclassified non-coding RNA (225 nucleotides) under plant metagenome. Its description in RNAcentral is "partial contains small subunit ribosomal RNA, internal transcribed spacer 1, and 5.8S ribosomal RNA". The record is from RNAcentral.
UUUCCGUAGGUGAACCUGCGGAAGGAUCAUUAGUGAAUUGCAUAUGUUAGCGGACCUCUUAGGAGUCCCUCGCAUCAAGUCAUAUCCAUAACACCUGUGAACUGUAAGGCUGCCUUGCAAAGGAGAGUGAUUAGAGCGCCUGCCCCUUUGAUACAAACAUUAAAGUAACAAACGUAGUAUUAUUAUAAUCUAAUAAAACUUUCAACAACGGAUCUCUUGGCUCUC